AAUAAACGCUGGCGGCGUGCCUAACACAUGCAAGUCGAGCGGGAAAGCCCUUCGGGGUAAGUACAGCGGCGGACGGGUGAGCAACACGUGAGAAUCUGCCCUUUAGUGAAGAAUACUCCCGAGAAAUCGGGCAUAAUACUGCAUAAGUCCCUGCGGGAGAAAGAUGGCUUUAUGCUGUCGCUAGAGGAUGAGCUCGCGUACUAUUAGCUAGUUGGUAGGGUAAUGGCCUACCAAGGCAAUGAUGGUUAACCGGCCUGAGAGGGUGUUCGGUCACACUGGAACUGAGACACGGUCCAGACUCCUACGGGAGGCAGCAGUGAGGAAUAUUGCGCAAUGGGCGAAAGCCUGACGCAGCGACGCCGCGUGGAGGAUGAAGGUCUUUGGAUUGUAAACUUCUGUUAAGUGGGAAGAAAAAGUUGACUUCUAAUACAAGCAAAAAUAGACGGUACCACUAAAGAAAGAC
Molecule: ribosomal RNA, 463 nt
Filed under: uncultured bacterium
Lineage: Bacteria
Description: bacterial SSU rRNA
Rfam family: Bacterial small subunit ribosomal RNA
Source: RNAcentral